UCACCUUCCUUUCCCAAAUCCUUUCAGCCUCUGCUUAUAAUCUGUCAUGGAUUGGAAAACUAGAAAAAACAGUUUACAGAGUAUAACAAACUUUGGAGGAGUUAAUCGACUCUAAGUAAAAGAGUAUCUAGCACGGCUGUGGAACAAAGGAGAGACUCACAAACUGUUGAAAGAAUAAAUGAAUGAAUGAAUUCUGUUCAUGAGCUUUAAUAAAACAGCUCUGAGUAGUAACAGUGGAUCAAAUUUAGGCUUCUUGAUGCAGGCAUGGUGUAGAUUACUACUUCUGUAUUGUCCCAGGAGCUCAGCACAUUCCUGCAGAGAUGAUAGGAGCUCAUCUGAUACUUGUCAGGAAUAUUACACACAGGAGCAUUGUUACACAUUUAAUUUAUCUGAGUAAGUCCCUAUAUACUACAUCAAUACUGAAGACAUUAUCUGGUUUAUCACAGAUAUUUAUCUUCUAAUAAUCUUUGUCUUGACUCUUAGAGAUUCUCUGCAUUAAUUCAUAAAAGCAUAGAAACGACUUGCUGGAAAAAUGUAGUUUUUUAUUAUGGGAAAGCCAAAGAAGCCCUUUUGUUGAUUGUUGGCUAUCCCCUCGAGCAGUCUCUUUUCACUGUGCUCUGCACUGCUUAUUGCUCUCUCUAGAGUCAUGAUUCAAAUGUUCUAGGCAAUUUAAAGUCACUAGUGACUCUCAGUCUCUGAGACUGCUUGGGGCAGCUAUCUGAGCCAUCAUUAUGUCACAUUAUGUCUUAACAUUAUGUCCUGCCAACCUGAAGCCCCAGCCUGCAACAAGUACAAUGGCACGCUGGGUUCAGUCUUCACCUGGCUGUUAAUAUUGACUUGAUCUCAGAAGAGCUUUCAAAUGAUACAAACAAAGCCUUUCCUGGAAGCCCUUCAUGUCUACUGCUGUGAUUAUUGAACUAUCACCAUUGCCUACUUUCUGUCAGAUUUUUGAAGACCACAUAGCAAGUAUGCUCUUAGAGUGAGGGGCAGUACAGUAAAUACAGUGGCUCGAGAGUUACAUUGUUGUUACAACUUGACUCCGAAUUAUAUCAGUUGUGUGAUCUUGAGCAAAUUGUUCAAACUUUCAUUUAUUUUUCUCUAUAAUGGGCACCAUAAUAAUACCAAGCAAAUAGGGUAUUAUUAUGGUGAAGACUAAAUCAAGUGUCUUGUAUAUAUUAAGCAUUAACUAAAUGUCAGUCACUUCUGUUUGUAUAAUCUAAUCUUCAAUUAGAAUUAAUAUGGCUUUAAAGUCAAAGAGGGCCAGGUGCCGUGGCUCACACCUGCAAUCCCUUUGGGAGGCCAAAACGGGAAGAUCGUUUGAGACAAGGAGUUUAAGACCAGCCUGGGCAACAAAGUGAGACCCCAUCUCUACAAAAAUUUUUAAAAGUAGCUGACCAUGGUAGCAUAUACUGUAGUCCCAGCUACUCAGAAGGCUGAGGUGGGAGUGUUGCUUGAGCCAAGAAGGUCCAGGCUGCAAUGGGUUAUGAUGGCACCACUGCACUCUAGCCUGGGUGACAGAGCAAGACCCUGUCUCUAAAAAUUAAUUAAUUAAUUAAUUAAUUAAUAAUAAAGUCAAAGAGAUCCAGAUUAGAAUCCUGUUGCUACUUUCAAACUUUAUGAGCAUCUGUUUUUGUCCUGAUAAGCAAAGGCAAAGGUCAGUGCCGAAUGACUUUGCGUAAUGUUACCACCUCUGAAUUAGUGUUGCGUACAUUGCAUGGUGCUAGUACAGUGAAUGUUUCAGCUAGGCCACUGGGUGUGCAAGUAGUGGAUAUUUAUAUUCAGCAUCUAUUCAGGUUGAUCACUGCCUAUGUUGUACUGAUUAUUUCAUAAUUUGAAUAUCAUACCAGGGUAUUAGUAUCAAAGUACCCGUUUGUUGCUUUUGUUGUCAUAUAGUUAGAAACAGAUAUUCAAGAAAUUUUCAAGUAAAACAUUAUUCCCAUCUAUGGGAAACUUCAGAAGCUGCAACAAUUCUAAGAACCAGCUUUUAUCCCUCCAGACACACAUGGAUUCUGUCAAGGGAGUACCCGUAUCUCUUUGACACUACCUACUUAUCAGGCUGCCCCAUAUUUUUUCAUUGUUUUUUAAUUUCCUUUUCUGGCCAGGGGUAUUUUCUGUUCCCUCUUCUUCCCUUGUGCUCUUUUCUUACUAUUAAUUGUUGUAAUUUCUUUGUGUUUUUGAGUUCAAAUUCUUCAGAAGAUCGGAUCAGCCAACUUCUUAUUUUUAGACACUGCUACUCUGUAGAUAGUUCAUCCUUUGUUACAUGUUCACCACAGCUCUGUAGCCAAGACCAGGAAGUGGCUGCAUUACAAGGUACAAAACAUGCCCCCACAACCCCCAGCUCCCGACAUGAGGAAGAUGAGCAGAGCAGUUUCCUCUAAAAUCUGCUUGGCUGGGGCAAGCAUGAUGAUAUCUAUAGGUAAAAGGUAAUGUGCAAGGAUGCCGCGACUCUUGUUUGUUUGACGUUUCACAAUUUUAUUUAUGGAAUCAGUUCUGUUGGAUAGAAUGAUUGCUCAUGAUUUUUGAGGCUUGGAUAUUGGAACUUAGAAAAUAAAUUGAAUUGGGCACUGCGUAAAUGGUCCAGUCAAAGGAAGUGUCUAUUUUGGCCACUUCAUUUAAAACACAGUAAAAUUUAAUUAAAGGACAAUAUUGGUCCAAGAAUGUACCUUUUAAGACACAGCAGUAUAGUAUCAACUCUGUUUGUGUUGUGUCGAACAAAACAAAACAGAUUAAAUACACAAACAAAUAUUAGAAUAUACAAUUGACACUAUGAAAAAAAUUAGUAGUUUUUAAUUCUUAACAAUGGAUGCUAACAAAGAAAUAUUGCUGAAACCAAGGAAAGGCUGAGAAUCAAUUAUUUCAUUCCUGUUUAGUUCUUUGGGCAAGGCAUACUAAUUUGUUAACAAUUUACCUCUUCAUCUUUCUUAGCUUUGAAUAAACUCCAGUCCCCAAGAGAGAGAAUGAGAAUCACCGGAAUACGAAACUUCCCUGUUGGACUUCCCAACAUUCUUGAAUGCACCAAGAUAGCCUCUUGCUGUGAGAUUAAUAAAUGAAUAAAUGCCUCCAUAUUUUUCAAAUCUGUGAAGUUAACAACAUGUAGAUUUUUUUGCAUAUUUAAAAACUGCAACUAAAUCUUAAUGCCUCUGAAGCAGAUGGAAGAAAAUAAUAGGCUUCCAUUAACUGUGUCAAAUUGUAUAGGUCUUGGCCAUCACUGGUCCUGUUGUGAUGAAGGUUUUUUGCCCUUGGAUAUAAUUUAAUUUUCAAUUCUUCUAAUUAUGGUACUUCAGAACAUCAAUAUUUGAGAUGAACUUCUCUAGUGUCAAGGACUGAUUUGAGUUGUGUAAACCCUGAAUAUCUGAGACAGGUCUCGAUUAUUUUAGAAAGUUUAUUUUGCCAAGGUUGAGGAUGUGUGCCUGUGACACGGCCUCGGGAGGUCCUGAGGACAUGUGCUCAAGGUGGUCAGAGCACAGCUUUGCUUUAUACAUUUUAGAGAGACAUGAGACAUCAACCGACAUAUGUAAGAUGAACAUUGGUUCCAUCUGGAAAGGCGAGACAACUUCAAACGAGGAGGGGGCUUCCAGGUCAUAGGUAGAUAAGAGACAAAUGGCUGCAUUCUUUUGAGUUUCUGAUUAGCCUUUCCAAAGGAGGCAAUUAGAGUGAGCAAAAUGAACAAAAUCAAUUAUUUUGAUUCUGAACAAAAUGGGAGGCUGGUUUUCCCUAAGCAGUUCCCAGCUUGACUUUUCCCUUUAGCUGAGGGAUUUGGGGGGCCCAAGAUUUAUUUUUCUUUCACCGUUGUAUCAAACUACACAGGCGGCCUUGGAAACCAUCACAGUUGAGAGUAGGUAACGCCCAUUUGUUGCAUAGUUUUGUGCUCCACACUCUUAUCUACAAAAUUAUGAAUUUUUUUACAUAUAUUAAUUUCAGAAAAACUAAAAAUAAAACAAAGUAGUUUCAAACUAGUAUUGUUUUUAUAUCUUAAAAA
RNAcentral lists this long non-coding RNA (3979 nucleotides) under Homo sapiens (human). RNAcentral describes it as "non-protein coding lnc-GRM7-2:8". The record is from RNAcentral. Lineage: Eukaryota; Metazoa; Chordata; Mammalia; Primates; Hominidae.